AUAAACAAAGUCCUUACCAUCUUACUUUUUGGUAUAUUCCCAGCAAUUAAAACAGACCCUGGCACCCGGUUGGCAAUCAUUGAAUAUUCGUUGCAUCAUUGACGAAGAUAAGUGAGUUAAUACUGAUUGUGUGAAGUCAGCAUCUUUGUCUCAAUUUACCUCCUUACCUCACGAAGAUGAAGACAUUUCUGAACAUGCAUCUCUGAACAUAUGUCUUAGUACACUUGAUGGACUUAUUCUGUAAGGUAAAUUCUUAGAAGUUUUAAAAUCCAGAAUAACAUCUUCCUGUAUGUUCAUCAAACCAUCUGCGUGGCACUGCUAAUAUCAGACCUCCAAAAACAGCUCGUUCCAAAGCUACUGGCUGCCUUAUUGGACAAGAGAGGAGCAAUCAAUACUUGAAAGGCUGUCUAGGAAGUCUCAGUGGAUACCCCUGUAAAAAGAAUGGACCUUGAAAUCUGAGACCAGAGAGCCGGUAGCUCUGGGGAUGGCCAGGAGAGGCCGCUGUAGCGUCGCAGAAUGACCGAGAGGGCGCGCAGCUGCUCUUCCUCCCACUGGCCAGCAAACUAACAGUCCUGGGUGAGAAACAACACAUGGUACCUCAGCGGCCAAGCUGGCUCAGCUGAGACAUGAAAAUGUGUUUAUUGUUGCCUCAUGCUCAACGAUUAGCCCCUGGAGACAGUUGCAGCCCACACCCCCAUAAGCUUCUGGAUGGAAAUGCACCGGAGUGAGUGUGGGACUCAAGACUUACCUGGAAAAGGGGUCAACACAUCCAUGUUCCCCACCUCACAGGUUAGUUGUGCUCAACACAUGGUGAAAUACUAUGAACAUUCCUUACAAAGCACCCAAAUGUCGGUGGCUGGCUGGUGAUGGUGGACGUGACUAAGAUCUUAGUCUUCACAAAUGGCACCUGAAACCAGCUGGGGUUUAGCAGAAGGCCCCAACUGUCUAUAGAAUUCAGGGGCUUAUUUCCAUAUUGUUUGCAUACACCUUAAGAAUAAUAGCUGAAAAUUAUAAAGCUCUUGCCAUGGAACUAAAAACCCAUUAUGUACAUUACAUUUUAUGUAAUCCCCACAACAAAUCUAUGAGGUAAGGAAGUCUAACCCUCCAUUGUUAGAAUAAGGAAACUAAAGCUCACAGAGGUUAACUUGCCCCAAGUGACAGGCUAAUCAAUGAAACCUAGACCCAGGCACUCAGCCUUUGCCCUCUGAGCUACACGUUACAGAGUGAGCAAAAGGGACAGUGACAUUGGACUUCUUCAUAACAGGGUAGGGCUGGGGAUACAGCUCAGUGGCACAAGCGCCUGCCUGGCCAGCACAAGGUCCUGAGUUUGAUCUCUAGUACCACAAAAACAAAAAACAUAACACGGUAGCACAGCGUAGUGGAACAGCCUUGGACCUGAUGAUCAUACCAGGCCUGCAUUCCAGCAUUCCCACCUCUGCUGAGCUGCACAAACAGAAGUGAUUUAUCUUCCCCAAGUUGUUGGUUUUUCCUCUGCAAACUGAAGAUAAUGUUCCCCUUGAAAGUUGUUGUGAGGAUUACAUGAAAUAAUACUUAAAGCACCCAGCCUAGGCCCUGCUCAGGUAAAUGUCCAUUAGUCUACGCUGAGUCUCAGUAAUAGAUGGAAAACCAUCUUAAGAGGCUAACCAUCCUCCGCCUUAGCCCAGCGUGUUCCUUUAGACUGUGGGGCCAGUCUUCAGGCCAUCUCCAGGUAAAAUUCUGUGCCUGCCGCACUUAGUAGUCUAGGAUCUUGACUUUGCCUAGUUUUCCUUGAGCCAAUUCUUUAUUCACCCUGCCUCCGAGUGGGAUCCUGAGCCAGCAACCCUCCCCUCUCGCUGGCCUGUCUUUUCUACUCCCCCCAUAGAGCAGAAAGGAGAAAUGGGAUAAGGAGAGAGGGAAAAGCUUUCUUGGUCAUCAAGAAAAUUAAGGUGAGCUGAAGGAAUAACGUGGAGGGGAGAGAGCAGAGGCUUGUUAUGCCUGCUCUCCAGUCAAGAGCCUCUUAGCUCUAAGCCACCCACUUAGGCCCAGCAGGCUGCACUUAGCAAUACCAUCUAGAGUUGCAUUUGGUAUUAGAGCUGAAACAGACCAUAAGGAUUAUUUCAUUUUCAGCCAAACUUCAUGCUUGGAAGAUGAGCCGUCACAAGGUGAUUAACUUACCAGGAGCCUCAAAUGCACAGAACUACCCAUAGCGCUUUGAGGUGUCCGCUCCCUGAACUCUGUCUUGAACCAUUCCAGCUCCCAUGACCUCACCCUGUGCUGCAGGGUUAUUAGCCCCAGAGCACGCCAGGGUCAAGACUGUAGUGGUGGACUUUGCUCUCCCAACGCCAUCUUCUCCUUCCGUACUAUUGCUCUAUUUAGGCACCACUUAGGCAGGCCCCAGACUAAGGUAACUUCCUCAGGCAAAAACACACAUUCUGAAGCUUCCCCUUUGCCACUUCUCUAUCAAAACUUACCCUCCCAGUAGCCUAGACCACUGUAAACUUCAAAAGGAAUCCUAUGGAAUAAGCUUCUUCAUGUUUAUACCUGAUAAGGGACUCAAAUGGUUCUAUGGCUGUUUACUUUUAAAAUUGGUCUCCUAAGGGAAUGAAACCUUUACCCAAAGGGACAAGGCCCUUAUGGUAGAAUGCUGGAGGUUCUAAAGCAGAAAAUCCUCCCCAGCAGACCCUUAGGUGUACAGUGGAGACAACCACCAACAUUGGCCCUGUGUGACGUUAGCCCCUGAGGGAAAGGUAGGUAUGGUUUCAAGUAAUAUUCUGAUAAGGUCUGGUCUCUUUUCUGUAUCUA
This is a long non-coding RNA of Chinchilla lanigera (long-tailed chinchilla), 2781 nucleotides long. RefSeq lists it as uncharacterized. The transcript has 4 exons. The record is from RefSeq and is a predicted model, not a curated record. NCBI's taxonomy places the organism in Eukaryota, Metazoa, Chordata, Mammalia, Rodentia, Chinchillidae.